This 453-nucleotide ribosomal RNA is filed under the name uncultured bacterium. RNAcentral describes it as "bacterial SSU rRNA". It matches the Rfam family "Bacterial small subunit ribosomal RNA", at positions 340 to 786 of the family's 1533-position model. The record is from RNAcentral.
UACGGAAGGCAGCAGGGGGAAUAUUGCACAAUGGGCGCAAGCCUGAUGCAGCCAUGCCGUGUGUAUGAAGAAGGCCUUCGGGUUGUAAAGUACUUUCAGUCGUGAGGAAGGUGUUAAGGUUAAUAACCUUAGCAAUUGACGUUAGCGACAGAAGAAGCACCGGCUAACUCCGUGCCAGCAGCCGCGGUAAUACGGAGGGUGCGAGCGUUAAUCGGAAUUACUGGGCGUAAAGGGCACGCAGGCGGUUAAUUAAGUUGGAUGUGAAAUCCCCGGGCUUAACCUGGGAAUGGCAUUCAAGACUGGUUAGCUAGAGUCUUGUAGAGGGGGUAGAAUUCCAUGUGUAGCGGUGAAAUGCGUAGAGAUGUGGAGGAAUACCGGUGGCGAAGGCGGCCCCUGGGACAAAGACUGACGCUCAUGUGCGAAAGCGUGGGGAGCAAACAGGGAUUAGAUACC